GAUGAAGAACGUAGCGAAAUGCGAUAAGUAAUGUGAAUUGCAGAAUUCAGUGAAUCAUCGAAUCUUUGAACGCACAUUGCGCCCGCCAGUAUUCUGGCGGGCAUGCCUGUUCGAGCGUCAUUUCAACCAUCAAGCCCCAGGCUUGUGUUGGGGACCUGCGGCUGCCGCAGGCCCUGAAAACCAGUGGCGGGCUCGCUGUCACACCGGGCGUAGUAGAUUUUAUCUCGCUCAGGGCGUGCUGCGGGUUCCGGCCGUUAAAAAGCCUUUUUUACCCAAGGUUGACCUCGGAUCAGGUAGGAAUACCCGCUGAACUUAAGCAUAUCAAUAAGGA
Molecule: unclassified non-coding RNA, 331 nt
Filed under: soil metagenome
Description: partial contains 5.8S ribosomal RNA, internal transcribed spacer 2, and large subunit ribosomal RNA
Rfam family: 5.8S ribosomal RNA (bases 1-120)
Source: RNAcentral